This 75-nucleotide transfer RNA is filed under the name Negativicutes bacterium. Its description in RNAcentral is "tRNA-Arg". It matches the Rfam family "tRNA". Rfam says of the family: Transfer RNA (tRNA) molecules are approximately 80 nucleotides in length. Their secondary structure includes four short double-helical elements and three loops (D, anti-codon, and T loops). Further hydrogen bonds mediate the characteristic L-shaped molecular structure. tRNAs have two regions of fundamental functional importance: the anti-codon, which is responsible for specific mRNA codon recognition, and the 3' end, to which the tRNAs corresponding amino acid is attached (by aminoacyl-tRNA synthetases). tRNAs cope with the degeneracy of the genetic code in two manners: having more than one tRNA (with a specific anti-codon) for a particular amino acid; and 'wobble' base-pairing, i.e. permitting non-standard base-pairing at the 3rd anti-codon position. The record is from RNAcentral. Lineage: Bacteria; Bacillati; Bacillota; Negativicutes.
GCGCCUGUAGCUCAGUGGAUAGAGCAUCGGCCUCCGGAGCUGGGUGCGCAGGUUCGAUUCCUGCCAGGCGCACCA